CAAGAGCGUAUAUUAAAGUUGUUGCAGUUAAAAGCUCGUAGUUGGAUUUCUGGUACAACGCGCCUGGCCCGCUUUUGUGAGUGCCGGUGCGCGUUUGCCAUCCUUCUAGAAAACGUUUCUACCCGGGUAACUGGGCCGGACUCGCGAUCUAGAUCAUUUACUUUGAAAAACUUAGAGUGUUUUAAAAGCAGGCUUUUUGCUAUGAAUACAUUAGCAUGGAAUAAUAAUAUAGGACUUUGGUUCUAUUUUGUUGGUUUCUAGGACUAAAGUAAUGAUUGAUAGGGAUAGUUGGGGGUGGCUAGUAUUCAGCGGUCCAGAGGGCUGGAAAUUUCUUGGAUUCGCUGAAGACUAACUUAUGCGAAAGCAUUCACCAAGGAUGUCUUCUUUAAU
RNAcentral lists this ribosomal RNA (390 nucleotides) under uncultured eukaryote. Its description in RNAcentral is "bacterial SSU rRNA". It matches the Rfam family "Eukaryotic small subunit ribosomal RNA", at positions 592 to 977 of the family's 1831-position model. The record is from RNAcentral.